UACAGAGGGGGCGAGCGUUAUUCGGAAUUAUUGGGCGUAAAGGGCGCGUAGGCGGCCUGACAAGUGACGGGUGAAAUCCCUCGGCUCAACCGAGGAUCUGCCUGUCAGACUGUUGGGCUUGAGACCGGGAGAGGUGAGUGGAAUUCCCAGUGUAGCGGUGAAAUGCGUAGAUAUUGGGAGGAACACCAGUGGCGAAGGCGGCUCACUGGACCGGAACUGACGCUGAGGCGCGAAAGCGUGGGGAGCAAAC
This 250-nucleotide ribosomal RNA is filed under the name uncultured bacterium. Its description in RNAcentral is "partial 16S ribosomal RNA". It matches the Rfam family "Bacterial small subunit ribosomal RNA", at positions 524 to 773 of the family's 1533-position model. The record is from RNAcentral.